GCCUUUAUAGCUCAGUGGUAGAGCACUGGUCUCGUAAACCAGGGGUCAUGAGUUCUAACCUCACUGGAGGCA
RNAcentral lists this transfer RNA (72 nucleotides) under Lepeophtheirus salmonis (salmon louse). RNAcentral's name for it is "transfer RNA threonine (anticodon CGU)". It matches the Rfam family "tRNA". From Rfam's summary of the family: Transfer RNA (tRNA) molecules are approximately 80 nucleotides in length. The record is from RNAcentral. Lineage: Eukaryota; Metazoa; Arthropoda; Copepoda; Siphonostomatoida; Caligidae.